CCUACGUGCUGCAGCAGUGGGGAAUAUUGGACAAUGGGCGAAAGCCUGAUCCAGCCAUGCCGCGUGUGUGAAGAAGGCCUUCGGGUUGUAAAGCACUUUCAGUGGGGAAGAAAGCCUUGGGGCUAAUACCCUCGAGGAAGGACAUCACCCACAGAAGAAGCACCGGCUAACUCCGUGCCAGCAGCCGCGGUAAUACGGAGGGUGCGAGCGUUAAUCGGAAUUACUGGGCGUAAAGCGCGCGUAGGCGGUCUGAUAAGCCGGUUGUGAAAGCCCCGGGCUCAACCUGGGAACGGCAUCCGGAACUGUCAGGCUAGAGUGCAGGAGAGGAAGGUAGAAUUCCCGGUGUAGCGGUGAAAUGCGUAGAGAUCGGGAGGAAUACCAGUGGCGAAGGCGGCCUUCUGGACUGACACUGACGCUGAGGUGCGAAAGCGUGGGUAGCAAACAGGAUUAGAUACCCCGGUAGUC
RNAcentral lists this ribosomal RNA (465 nucleotides) under Vreelandella stevensii. RNAcentral describes it as "partial 16S ribosomal RNA". It matches the Rfam family "Bacterial small subunit ribosomal RNA", at positions 338 to 795 of the family's 1533-position model. The record is from RNAcentral. Lineage: Bacteria; Pseudomonadati; Pseudomonadota; Gammaproteobacteria; Oceanospirillales; Halomonadaceae.